Molecule: non-coding RNA, 199 nt
Organism: Pimephales promelas (fathead minnow)
Lineage: Eukaryota; Metazoa; Chordata; Actinopteri; Cypriniformes; Leuciscidae
Source: RefSeq, a predicted model, not a curated record
CAGAUGCGGGCAGUUCUUCAUCGUGUGCUGGGGCUGCUGCUCCACAUGUCCAUUCACAGCCAUCAGAGACUGUGAAAGACACAAAUACGGAAGAACAGAAGAAAGAUACAGUAGGUGAACACGACUCAUCAAACCAAGAAGAGAAACCCACAGGAUUGAGUCCUGACCAGACUAGUCCUUCAGCAGAUGCGGGCAGUUC